UACAGAGGUCUCAAGCGUUGUUCGGAUUCAUUGGGCGUAAAGGGUGCGUAGGCGGCGCGGUAAGUCGGGUGUGAAAUCUCGGGGCUUAACUCCGAAACUGCAUUCGAUACUGCCGUGCUUGAGGACUGGAGAGGAGACUGGAAUUUACGGUGUAGCGGUGAAAUGCGUAGAUAUCGGAAGGAACAUCAGUGGCGAAAGCGGCUUCCUGGCCCAAUACUGACACUCAUGUGCGAAAGCGUGGGGAGCAAACAGG
RNAcentral lists this ribosomal RNA (253 nucleotides) under uncultured prokaryote. RNAcentral's name for it is "partial 16S ribosomal RNA". It matches the Rfam family "Bacterial small subunit ribosomal RNA", at positions 524 to 776 of the family's 1533-position model. The record is from RNAcentral.